GAUGAACGCUAGCUACAGGCUUAACACAUGCAAGUCGAGGGGCAGCACAGAGAUAGCUUGCUAUCUUGGGUGGCGACCGGCGCACGGGUGAGUAACGCGUAUCCAACCUGCCCAUUACUCAGGGAUAGCCUUGCGAAAGUAAGAUUAAUACCUGAUGUUGUUUGAUUGCCGCAUGACGAUCAAACCAAAGAUUUAUUGGUAAUGGAUGGGGAUGCGUGACAUUAGGGUAGUUGGUGAGGUAACGGCUCACCAAGCCCACGAUGUCUAGGGGUUCUGAGAGGAAGGUCCCCCCANACUGGAACUGAGACACGGUCCAGACUCCUACGGGAGGCAGCAGUGAGGAAUAUUGGUCAAUGGACGAGAGUCUGAACCAGCCAAGUAGCGUGCAGGAUGACGGCCCUCUGGGUUGUAAACUUCUUUUGUUUGGGAAUAAAUGAUACUACGUGUAGUAUUUUGCAUGUACCUUACGAAUAAGCAUCGGCUAA
RNAcentral lists this ribosomal RNA (485 nucleotides) under uncultured bacterium. Its description in RNAcentral is "bacterial SSU rRNA". It matches the Rfam family "Bacterial small subunit ribosomal RNA", at positions 28 to 500 of the family's 1533-position model. The record is from RNAcentral.